This 577-nucleotide ribosomal RNA is filed under the name marine sediment bacterium BB0608_2216_2.1_11G0. RNAcentral describes it as "bacterial SSU rRNA". It matches the Rfam family "Bacterial small subunit ribosomal RNA", at positions 78 to 654 of the family's 1533-position model. The record is from RNAcentral.
GAUAACGGCGUCGAGCGGCGGACGGGUGAGUAAUGCCUAGGAAAUUGCCCUGAUGUGGGGGAUAACCAUUGGAAACGAUGGCUAAUACCGCAUGAUGCCUACGGGCCAAAGAGGGGGACCUUCGGGCCUCUCGCGUCAGGAUAUGCCUAGGUGGGAUUAGCUAGUUGGUGAGGUAAGGGCUCACCAAGGCGACGAUCCCUAGCUGGUCUGAGAGGAUGAUCAGCCACACUGGAACUGAGACACGGUCCAGACUCCUACGGGAGGCAGCAGUGGGGAAUAUUGCACAAUGGGCGCAAGCCUGAUGCAGCCAUGCCGCGUGUAUGAAGAAGGCCUUCGGGUUGUAAAGUACUUUCAGUCGUGAGGAAGGCGGCGUCGUUAAUAGCGGCGUUGUUUGACGUUAGCGACAGAAGAAGCACCGGCUAACUCCGUGCCAGCAGCCGCGGUAAUACGGAGGGUGCGAGCGUUAAUCGGAAUUACUGGGCGUAAAGCGCAUGCAGGUGGUUUGUUAAGUCAGAUGUGAAAGCCCGGGGCUCAACCUCGGAAUAGCAUUUGAAACUGGCAGACUAGAGUACUGUAG